Long non-coding RNA from Aegilops tauschii subsp. strangulata, 3628 nucleotides. RefSeq lists it as uncharacterized. Lineage: Eukaryota; Viridiplantae; Streptophyta; Magnoliopsida; Poales; Poaceae. The record is from RefSeq and is a predicted model, not a curated record.
UGCUGGGACCUGCACUUUCCAUAAAGUUUUCCACGCUCCUGUCUUCUGUACUUGAAGAUCCCGAUCGGCCUUCUAGCCAUGCUUCUCUUCGCGACCUAGUGCUAAGUGCUAACAAGCAUCCGGUCUGUACUUGGAGUCAUAGCUGCCCUGCGACCCACUCGCACGGGCCUCCCCAGCGCACUCCGGCCCUGGCCCCGUCGUCCCCUCACUCUCCUCUCCCCCGCCGGCGCAGCAGCGAGCAGAUCCUCCGAUAGCCCUCGCCGCACUCUCCUCCUCGCCCCCCUCCCCAUAUCUGUCGGCGACGAGUGAGCUCUCGUACGCCCCGCUCCGGGGAGCGUCGCCGCCGUCCUUCCUCGCGACGGCGACGCGUGCAGCGGCGGAGCGGGAGGAGGCGCCCAAUGCUCUCGUACUGGUCUGAUGGAAUACCGUCGGCAGCCAAUCACCAUGACGAAAAGAAGCCGUGGGACCGUCCUUGACGACCUCCCCGAGUGGAUUGUCAUCGAAGAGAUCCUCAUCCGGUUGCCACCAAAGGACGUUCUUCGCUGCCGCGCUGUCCGCAAGUUGUGGUGCAGUGCCACCUCCACCGACAAGUUCAUGCUCGACAACUGCCUACGCCAGCCGUCGCUCCCUGUUAUCAACCAGGAUAUCCCUGGGCAGGAAGGAGUCACCUUCGUUGUCUUCCGUGACAAUGUUGUCGGAGCCUCUGAUCAAAAACUCUGGCCAAUCAUUCAACACUCUAAGUUCCAUAAUCUCCUGGGAGCCUGUGAUGGCUUUCUCAUCUUGUCCGAUGGAUCCCAUUUCUGGAUCUGCAAUCCGGCCACUCGCAGAUGUGCUCCGCUACCACAACCUCGAGUUCCAUCGUCAUAGCCAGGGGGGUCCUGCAUCUACAUAGCUGGCUUUUACCGGCAUCAUCCAUCUGGGGAAUACCAGGUGCUCUGGUUCUCGCAUGGCUGCGAACGUGGCUACAUUCUCUCGGUAGGAUCUGACAAGCCGAGAAUGAUCAGACGGCUGUCAGUGUCAUGGCGUUUACCAAAAUAUAGGCGCGAAGGGGCUUUUGAUUCCUGCUAUAGUUCACAAGUCAACCACCGCGGCAGCCUGCACUGGUUAACAGGAAUCUACACGGAGACUGCCGUGGACAUUAUGGUGUUUGACACAGUAACUGAGACGUUCUGGUGGAUGCGCAGUCCUGACCAGUUGGGCCAACGGUUGUCGUUGUUAGAGAUGGAUGGCAAGCUUGCUUCAUGCAGCAAAAAUGAUGCCUACAUAGAGAUUUGGGUGAUGCAAGACUAUAAGGCUGAGGCCUGGGCCUUGAAGUACCGGAUUAACUUGUUAGCGAUGAAGACAUCACCACUAUUCGACUAUAUUUCUAAGAUGGCACUGCUUAACCAGCGUGAGCUGCUGAUCUGUUGUCACAAUCCAUUGGACAGUCCUGACUAUCUUUUGCACUGUGACAUUGACGGAAAGUUUUUGGGAUAUUACGAAAUUAAAGGGGGAACGUAUUCAGUAUACUUCACUAAUCAGUACUUUCAGGAGAGCAUGAUUCCACUUCCGUAUGGUGAGGUGCAAGAAGAAGGUGGUUUGGAUGAGGAGCCUUCAUUCUUCAUAGGGCUUUAAAGUGGUUUGUAUUGUACUUCUAGUUUGCCAUGUAUGCCUUUGGAUUGUCCAUCCUUUAUGAGCAUAUGGUUCUAGUUCUUGCUUUAUAAUACCAGUAGAACUGAACAAUUUAUAUGGCUGUGCUCGCACUUUUACUACCAUCUGGUGCCUUUUGUUGGAGUAUCUAUGCUAUACAUCUGUGCUACUUCUUCCCCGUUUACUUUCAUUUCUCAUUGUUAAGUAGUGUGAAUGGCACUGGCUGCAAUUUAAAAUGCUAAUUAUUUGUGCUACUAGAGAAUUAGUGAAGCAUUGGCAGGCCAUCUAGAAAUAUGAGAGAUGCAGUCUUAUUCAAUAUCUUUUAGUGGAUACUUUUGUAAGACAGUGUGAGAGAUAUGCCCUCUACCAAUAGGAGUUAGUCGUGGGACUUUUGGUCGUUGGAAUGGUUAGUUUGGAUCUUUGCUCAGGUUAGUAGUUUGAUAUUCACUGCUCUGUAUGCAAUUUGAGUUUACUCUGAAGUAAAAUUUCUUGUGGUACCAACUUCGUCCUGCUCUUUGUUGUGUGGAGAUGUUUUCUUAUCAGGGCUACUUGGGUAGUCGUGCAGUUUGGUUCUUAGCACAGUUCUGUUUCUUCAGUAUGCUAUUGUUAUUUUUUUGGUACAGUGAUCUGGUUCUUAUGCUUGAGUUGGAUUCGGCUUCUUUCUUAGUAGCAGAGCUUUGCUCCCUUCUGUUUUCUUCUGAAAAUUUGAACCUGUCAGCUAUAGAUUUUUAAAUCACAGUUUUGUGGAGAACAUACACCUUUUACCACAUUUCAGAUGGCCGCUCCUCGUCUCAUUUCUUGUAUGAAGUGCCGGUUGCAUUGAUGAUCGACCUACGUGAUGUGAUCAGCAACAUUAUGACAAAAGGGAUUGUCUCAUUGGUGUGAUCCCUGUGAACUGGUUUCCUUAAAUUCUUGCCUCUACACCGCAAUCAUGUUGACGUCCUUCAGGUUUUCGUAUAUAUAUUUAUAUUGUAUUAUUAUGUCAGGCAUGUCCAGUUUUUCUUGAAUGAGUAUUUUUGUUGUUUUCUCGUUGAGAUGGACGGGCAGAGUAGCAUCCAUAUACGACACUGUGACAGUGCGUAUGGUCUGCACGCCGCCCCCAUCUAUUCUCACAUAUUAACAUUUAUUAUUAUUAUGCAAAAAAGCCUUAUAGAAGAGACCGCAUCAGCACGUCGAUUAAUUGUCUCCUUUUGCAUCUGAAAAGUAAUAACGAAAUCGGAAAGAACAAAUUUGUAGGUACAAUCCACAUUUGCCAUCAAGUGCUCAUGAAUCGCUUUUAUCCACACUAGGUGAGUAAGAGCUUUUAUCCACUUUGUGCAUGAAGUUUCUACUGACCUAGAGGUGCAGAUAAUGCCUCCGGAGGAGGAGGACUGCUCGGCGAGUCACUGGUGUGUGACGACGGGGACGUUGGCCAUGGCCGUCGCAGCCCGUGUCGUUUUUGGCUUUCUGGGUGCCUGGGUCAGGUCACAAUAGUGUAGCAGGGCGGGGGAGAAGAGGCGGCAGCACUGGUGCUACGGGGAUUGUUUGCCGGUGGUGAGAAGCUGGACCGGCUCGCGAGCAUGGUGCUGUCGGCGCGUUCCAUGAAGCUACAUGUGAGGCUGAAGAACAAGCUUCUGCAACACGAAAAGCCUUCAAAACUGGGGCCAGGGAAAUGCUCCCUUACCACUAAGGUGUUCUCUGAUGCCUCUUGGAAGAACUCCAAAUUCCUGGAAGGAAAGGAACCAUUGCAAAAGGUUUAGGCGUGUAUUUCCAAUUCUCCGAGGGACAAAGUAACAUCACAGGGAUGGUUCAAGCUUAUAUAAGCACCGGCAUCGCCUCCUCUCCUCUUCAAGCAGAAGCUCUUGUCUUGCUACUCGCUGCAAAUAGUGCAGAUUUUCUGCUGUUACAAUAGCCAACCUUCUUAACAGAUAACAUGUCCCUGCAAGGGCUGCAACGGCCAGGGAACUCAAGAUUCACUUGUUGGUAAAUCAUGAGUUCUAAAAUAAAAUUACAAGCAUCA